Molecule: ribosomal RNA, 398 nt
Filed under: Bacteroidetes bacterium enrichment culture clone LiUU-15-341
Lineage: Bacteria; Pseudomonadati; Bacteroidota
Description: bacterial SSU rRNA
Rfam family: Bacterial small subunit ribosomal RNA
Source: RNAcentral
CAGCCGCCGCGGUAAUUCGGAGGAUCCAAGCGUUAUCCGGAAUCAUUGGGUUUAAAGGGUCCGUAGACGGUUUAAUAAGUCAGUGGUGAAAGCCCAUCGCUCAACGGUGGAACGGCCAUUGAUACUGUUAAACUUGAAUUAUUGGGAAGUAACUAGAAUAUGUAGUGUAGCGGUGAAAUGCUUAGAGAUUACAUGGAAUACCAAUUUCGAAGGCAGGUUACUACUAAUGGAUUGACGCUGAUGGACUAAAGCGUGGGUAGCGAACAGGAUUAGAUACCCUGGUAGUCCACGCCGUAAACGAUGGAUACUAGCUUUUGGGAGCAAUCUCAGUGGCUAAGCGAAAGUGAUAAGUAUCCCACCUGGGGAGUACGUUCGCAAGAAUGAAACUUAAAGGAAUU